AUUCACUCAAAUGUGUUUUAUUAUAUCAUUAAUAUACAUUCCUAGUAACCACAUGGAAGAUAAGUGUGGGGUAGUUAGUGUGCCAUGAAUUCACACUUGAGCUUGAAUUAUAGUAAUGGUGCUGAGAAAAAGUUUAAUAGGAAUAACUGCUUUCUACGCUGGAGUACACUCUGAAAGGAAGGAAGUCUUCCCAGAUGGUGAAAUUUUGAAGCUCUGCUACUGUCAGUACAGAGUAUGGAAUGAAUUACAGCUGCUCAGUAAUUUCACAUGACAUAAUGUAAAUGUAUUCAUGAAGUAAAGUGAGUCUCUCUCAGCUCGUGUUGAUUGUGCUCAUAGAGGUGUUUGCCAGUCUGUUGAACACAUUCUGCG
Molecule: long non-coding RNA, 369 nt
Filed under: Gallus gallus (chicken)
Lineage: Eukaryota; Metazoa; Chordata; Aves; Galliformes; Phasianidae
Source: RNAcentral